ACGGGAGGCAGCAGUGGGGAAUAUUGCACAAUGGGCGAAAGCCUGAUGCAGCGACGCCGCGUGAGGGAUGACGGCCUUCGGGUUGUAAACCUCUUUCAGCAGGGAAGAAGCGAAAGUGACAGUACCUGCAGAAGAAGCACCGGCUAACUACGUGCCGGCAGCCGCGGUAAUACGUAGGGCGCAAGCGUUGUCCGGAAUUAUUGGGCGUAAAGGGCUCGUAGGCGGUCUGUCGCGUCGGAUGUGAAAGCCCGGGGCUUAACCCCGGGUCUGCAUUCGAUACGGGCAGACUAGAGUGUGGUAGGGGAGAUCGGAAUUCCUGGUGUAGCGGUGAAAUGCGCAGAUAUCAGGAGGAACACCGGUGGCGAAGGCGGAUCUCUGGGCCAUUACUGACGCUGAGGAGCGAAAGCGUGGGGAGCGAACAGGAUUAGAUACCCUGGUAGUCCACGCCGUAAACGGUGGGAACUAGGUGUUGGCGACAUUCCACGUCGUCGGUGCCGCAGCUAACGCAUUAAGUUCCCCGCCUGGGGAGUACGG
This 534-nucleotide ribosomal RNA is filed under the name uncultured bacterium. RNAcentral's name for it is "bacterial SSU rRNA". It matches the Rfam family "Bacterial small subunit ribosomal RNA", at positions 341 to 885 of the family's 1533-position model. The record is from RNAcentral.